AAAGGAACAAAAUACUGAUUCAUGCUACAACAUGGAUGAACCUUGAAUACAUCAUGCUAAGUGAAAGGAAACUGACAAAAAGGCCACAUAUUGUGUGACUCCAUUCAGAUGAAUUGUCCAGAAGAAGCAAAACCAUAUAAACAGAAUGUUAGCCAGUGAUUUCCAGGACUGGGGAGAGGGAAGAAUGGAAGGGGUUGUCAUGGAGAUCAGAGCUGAGACUCUAGAGAGGCCUUGCCUGGACUGGAAUCCAGAAUCUUCUAUUCAUCAGCAGUGGAACAUUUGACAAAUUACUUACUCUGGUCUUCAAUUUCCUCAUAUGUAAAAUAGAGAGAAAGUUCUGCCGGUAACAAAACCUGCUCUACAAGCCAGGAGGAAAAAGGACUUAAAGGAAGAGGAAGAACACAUUUUUCAAAAUUCUUGUCAAAAUAUAUGAGGGGGGAAAAAUAUAAGAAGCGGAGAAAUAUGCCACUCGACUCAGGAGUCACUCUGGACAAGUGUCUUGGAAUCAAGUCCUAAAGGACAGCCAUCAUGGCAACAAAAGGUGGAUGUAAUUACAAAUAAGGGCCUUGGAAGAAUCUCUAAAACGGUUCCUGCAAAGAGUGCAGUUCGGAAAAAUCUACGCAAAAGAAGGACAAAAGUGGAAGCUCAUGAGAGCAGAGAAAAAGCAAAAGAGACAACCGAUAAAGGACACUGCUGGAAAAUGUUCUACGCUGCUGCUGACAGCAAAGCUGCAACAUGACUAAUGUCAAUCUGUUGAUCUUCCCUGACCAGAGAUCAAACCCUACAUUGGGAGCGAGGAGUCUUAACCAUUGGACUGCCAGGGAAGUCCCUGCCUGGUAAAUUGAAAUAUCAAAUAUCAACUUCUGAAGUAAGGGAGAGAAGGAAACAAAAAGAAAAUUGGGUAUUUAUUCUUAAAUAUAGCACCUUAGGGAGGCAGUUUGCAUAGCGGCUAAGAACACAGACUCUAGAGCCAGACUUGCCUGGGUUUGAGUCCAACUUCCCUUAUUGCCUAUGUGACUUUGGGCACAUUUCUUAUCUUUUCUUUGCCUCAGCUUCUGCAUCUGUAAAGUGGAAGACAGCUUGACCUCAUGGGGUUGCUACAAGGAUUAAAUCAGUUUAUAAAAAGUACUUAGAACAGUGACUGGGAACAGUAAGCACCACAUAAAUGUCAGUUACUAUUACUCAAAAUUAUAAUAAUGAAUAGAUCAAGGCUCUAGUAACAUUGUUAGUUUUUAGGGGUCUGAGUUUUUGUAAUGUUUCUGAUUUUUAAAAGAUCACAAAUGUGGCUUGGAUUACUCCAAGAAAAGAAGUUUGGCUUAAUACACUGAUAAAUGAGUUUUUAAGAAAGAAACCAUUUUGUAUGACCCAGUACAGGGAGUAGAGUUGACUAACAGGAGAUGUCUGGCUGGCAUAAAAAUCAUUAAAGAAAAUCCUGAGCACGAUGUUAAAGUCAACUCGGAAGCACGUGCUUUACAUUAUUGUCCUAUCAGUUCUUGAGUUCCUGGCAAGUGUCGCUGAAGCAGAUAGACUUUUUUUUCAAGUAGUCAUUCUCUGUUAUUGCUUUUGACAUAGAUAAACGACCUUCUAACUAACUAUUAGGAAACUUUUUGUAGGGUUUAUUUGUGAUGGUUAUUUAAAGUGAUAGCUGUGAAAGACCGUCAAAAUAGCUCUAACAUUGUGCUGUUCAAAAAGAAAGGCUAAUUUCUUUGAAAAUAAUAAUGAAAGGAUAAUAGAAUCUCAGAUAUAAGAAGGAAUAAGGUCUGCGAGCUCAUGGAUGGCAUUCAUCUGCCAAGACAGGGAAGUCUGUCUCAGGAGUUAACCAGUUUUGCUUGCUUCAUACUGCUGAGUACACUUGAUUUGCUAUAAUGGGGGCAAAGUUCACUGGGCAGUGCCCCAGCAAAUUACUUUUCUAGACAGGAAAGACUAGGGCAAUUUUGUCUCUACAGUAAUGGCCAAUUCACAGCCAUCUAAGACUCUGGCUUUUUAAUUUUUUUUAUUUUUUUAUUAUUAUUAUUUUUUUUGCGGUAUGCGGGCCUCUCACUGUUGUGGCC
Molecule: long non-coding RNA, 2051 nt
Organism: Aethalodelphis obliquidens (Pacific white-sided dolphin)
Lineage: Eukaryota; Metazoa; Chordata; Mammalia; Artiodactyla; Delphinidae
Exons: 5
Source: RefSeq, a predicted model, not a curated record